RNAcentral lists this ribosomal RNA (2902 nucleotides) under Salmonella enterica. Its description in RNAcentral is "bacterial LSU rRNA". It matches the Rfam family "Bacterial large subunit ribosomal RNA". RNAcentral also lists the same sequence under 1 other name. Lineage: Bacteria; Pseudomonadati; Pseudomonadota; Gammaproteobacteria; Enterobacterales; Enterobacteriaceae. The record is from RNAcentral.
UUAAGCGACUAAGCGUACACGGUGGAUGCCCUGGCAGUCAGAGGCGAUGAAGGGCGUGCUAAUCUGCGAUAAGCGCCGGUAAGGUGAUAUGAACCGUUAUAACCGGCGAUACCCGAAUGGGGAAACCCAGUGUGAUUCGUCACACUAUCAUUAACUGAAUCCAUAGGUUAAUGAGGCGAACCGGGGGAACUGAAACAUCUAAGUACCCCGAGGAAAAGAAAUCAACCGAGAUUCCCCCAGUAGCGGCGAGCGAACGGGGAGGAGCCCAGAGCCUGAAUCAGCAUGUGUGUUAGUGGAAGCGUCUGGAAAGGCGCGCGAUACAGGGUGACAGCCCCGUACACAAAAGCGCAUGUGCUGUGAGCUCGAUGAGUAGGGCGGGACACGUGGUAUCCUGUCUGAAUAUGGGGGGACCAUCCUCCAAGGCUAAAUACUCCUGACUGACCGAUAGUGAACCAGUACCGUGAGGGAAAGGCGAAAAGAACCCCGGCGAGGGGAGUGAAAAAGAACCUGAAACCGUGUACGUACAAGCAGUGGGAGCACCCUUUGGGUGUGACUGCGUACCUUUUGUAUAAUGGGUCAGCGACUUAUAUUCUGUAGCAAGGUUAACCGAAUAGGGGAGCCGGAGGGAAACCGAGUCUUAAUUGGGCGUUAAGUUGCAGGGUAUAGACCCGAAACCCGGUGAUCUAGCCAUGGGCAGGUUGAAGGUUGGGUAACACUAACUGGAGGACCGAACCGACUAAUGUUGAAAAAUUAGCGGAUGACCUGUGGCUGGGGGUGAAAGGCCAAUCAAACCGGGAGAUAGCUGGUUCUCCCCGAAAGCUAUUUAGGUAGCGCCUCGUGAAUUCAUCUCCGGGGGUAGAGCACUGUUUCGGCUAGGGGGCCAUCCCGGCUUACCAACCCGAUGCAAACUGCGAAUACCGGAGAAUGUUAUCACGGGAGACACACGGCGGGUGCUAACGUCCGUCGUGAAGAGGGAAACAACCCAGACCGCCAGCUAAGGUCCCAAAGUCAUGGUUAAGUGGGAAACGAUGUGGGAAGGCCCAGACAGCCAGGAUGUUGGCUUAGAAGCAGCCAUCAUUUAAAGAAAGCGUAAUAGCUCACUGGUCGAGUCGGCCUGCGCGGAAGAUGUAACGGGGCUAAACCAUGCACCGAAGCUGCGGCAGCGACACUGUGUGUUGUUGGGUAGGGGAGCGUUCUGUAAGCCUGUGAAGGUGUGUCGUGAGGCAUGCUGGAGGUAUCAGAAGUGCGAAUGCUGACAUAAGUAACGAUAAAGCGGGUGAAAAGCCCGCUCGCCGGAAGACCAAGGGUUCCUGUCCAACGUUAAUCGGGGCAGGGUGAGUCGACCCCUAAGGCGAGGCCGAAAGGCGUAGUCGAUGGGAAACGGGUUAAUAUUCCCGUACUUGGUGUUACUGCGAAGGGGGGACGGAGAAGGCUAUGUUGGCCGGGCGACGGUUGUCCCGGUUUAAGCGUGUAGGUGUGUGUUCCAGGUAAAUCCGGUUCACUUUAACACUGAGGCGUGACGACGAGGCACUACGGUGCUGAAGCAACAAAUGCCCUGCUUCCAGGAAAAGCCUCUAAGCAUCAGGUAACAUCAAAUCGUACCCCAAACCGACACAGGUGGUCAGGUAGAGAAUACCAAGGCGCUUGAGAGAACUCGGGUGAAGGAACUAGGCAAAAUGGUGCCGUAACUUCGGGAGAAGGCACGCUGACACGUAGGUGAAGUGAUUUACUCAUGGAGCUGAAGUCAGUCGAAGAUACCAGCUGGCUGCAACUGUUUAUUAAAAACACAGCACUGUGCAAACACGAAAGUGGACGUAUACGGUGUGACGCCUGCCCGGUGCCGGAAGGUUAAUUGAUGGGGUCAGCGCAAGCGAAGCUCCUGAUCGAAGCCCCGGUAAACGGCGGCCGUAACUAUAACGGUCCUAAGGUAGCGAAAUUCCUUGUCGGGUAAGUUCCGACCUGCACGAAUGGCGUAAUGAUGGCCAGGCUGUCUCCACCCGAGACUCAGUGAAAUUGAACUCGCUGUGAAGAUGCAGUGUACCCGCGGCAAGACGGAAAGACCCCGUGAACCUUUACUAUAGCUUGACACUGAACAUUGAGCCUUGAUGUGUAGGAUAGGUGGGAGGCUUUGAAGUGUGGACGCCAGUCUGCAUGGAGCCGACCUUGAAAUACCACCCUUUAAUGUUUGAUGUUCUAACGUGGACCCGUUACCCGGGUUGCGGACAGUGUCUGGUGGGUAGUUUGACUGGGGCGGUCUCCUCCUAAAGAGUAACGGAGGAGCACGAAGGUUGGCUAAUCCUGGUCGGACAUCAGGAGGUUAGUGCAAUGGCAUAAGCCAGCUUGACUGCGAGCGUGACGGCGCGAGCAGGUGCGAAAGCAGGUCAUAGUGAUCCGGUGGUUCUGAAUGGAAGGGCCAUCGCUCAACGGAUAAAAGGUACUCCGGGGAUAACAGGCUGAUACCGCCCAAGAGUUCAUAUCGACGGCGGUGUUUGGCACCUCGAUGUCGGCUCAUCACAUCCUGGGGCUGAAGUAGGUCCCAAGGGUAUGGCUGUUCGCCAUUUAAAGUGGUACGCGAGCUGGGUUUAGAACGUCGUGAGACAGUUCGGUCCCUAUCUGCCGUGGGCGCUGGAGAACUGAGGGGGGCUGCUCCUAGUACGAGAGGACCGGAGUGGACGCAUCACUGGUGUUCGGGUUGUCAUGCCAAUGGCACUGCCCGGUAGCUAAAUGCGGAAGAGAUAAGUGCUGAAAGCAUCUAAGCACGAAACUUGCCCCGAGAUGAGUUCUCCCUGAGACUUAGAGUCUCCUGAAGGAACGUUGAAGACGACGACGUUGAUAGGCCGGGUGUGUAAGCGCAGCGAUGCGUUGAGCUAACCGGUACUAAUGAACCGUGAGGCUUAACCUU